UACGUAGGGUGCAAGCGUUGUCCGGAAUUAUUGGGCGUAAAGAGCUCGUAGGCGGCUUGUCGCGUCGGCUGUGAAAACCUGGGGCUCAACCCCGGGCCUGCAGCCGAUGCGGGCAAGCUAGAAUUCGGUAGGGGAGACUGGAAUUCCUGGUGUAGCGGUGAAAUGCGCAGAUAUCAGGAAGAACACCCGUGGCGAAGGCGGUUCUCUGGGACGGGACUGACGCUGAGACGCGAAAGCGUGGGGAGCGAACAGG
RNAcentral lists this ribosomal RNA (253 nucleotides) under uncultured bacterium. RNAcentral's name for it is "partial 16S ribosomal RNA". It matches the Rfam family "Bacterial small subunit ribosomal RNA", at positions 524 to 776 of the family's 1533-position model. The record is from RNAcentral.